UACGGGGGGAGCAAGCGUUGUUCGGAUUUACUGGGCGUAAAGGGCGCGUAGGCGGUCGUGACAAGUCACUUGUGAAAUCUCCGGGCUUAACUCGGAACGGUCAAGUGAUACUGUCGGACUAGAGUACAGAAGGGGCAACUGGAAUUCUCGGUGUAGCGGUGAAAUGCGUAGAUAUCGAGAGGAACACCGCUGGCGGCGAAGGCGGGUUGCUGGGCUGAUACUGACGCUGAGGCGCGAAAGCCAGGGGAGCGAACGGG
This 257-nucleotide ribosomal RNA is filed under the name uncultured bacterium. Its description in RNAcentral is "partial 16S ribosomal RNA". It matches the Rfam family "Bacterial small subunit ribosomal RNA", at positions 524 to 776 of the family's 1533-position model. The record is from RNAcentral.